Molecule: ribosomal RNA, 2921 nt
Filed under: Klebsiella pneumoniae
Lineage: Bacteria; Pseudomonadati; Pseudomonadota; Gammaproteobacteria; Enterobacterales; Enterobacteriaceae
Description: 23S ribosomal RNA
Rfam family: Bacterial large subunit ribosomal RNA
Source: RNAcentral
GGGUUGUGAGGUUAAGCGACUAAGCGUACACGGUGGAUGCCCUGGCAGUCAGAGGCGAUGAAGGACGUGCUAAUCUGCGAAAAGCGUCGGUAAGGUGAUAUGAACCGUUAUAACCGGCGAUGUCCGAAUGGGGAAACCCAGUGCAAUUCGUUGCACUAUCGUUAACUGAAUACAUAGGUUAACGAGGCGAACCGGGGGAACUGAAACAUCUAAGUACCCCGAGGAAAAGAAAUCAACCGAGAUUCCCCCAGUAGCGGCGAGCGAACGGGGAGCAGCCCAGAGUCUGAAUCAGCUUGUGUGUUAGUGGAACGGUCUGGAAAGUCCGACGGUACAGGGUGAUAGUCCCGUACACCAAAAUGCACAGGCUGUGAACUCGAAGAGUAGGGCGGGACACGUGGUAUCCUGUCUGAAUAUGGGGGGACCAUCCUCCAAGGCUAAAUACUCCUGACUGACCGAUAGUGAACCAGUACCGUGAGGGAAAGGCGAAAAGAACCCCGGCGAGGGGAGUGAAAAAGAACCUGAAACCGUGUACGUACAAGCAGUGGGAGCACCUUCGGGUGUGACUGCGUACCUUUUGUAUAAUGGGUCAGCGACUUAUAUUCUGUAGCAAGGUUAACCGUAUAGGGGAGCCGCAGGGAAACCGAGUCUUAACUGGGCGUUAAGUUGCAGGGUAUAGACCCGAAACCCGGUGAUCUAGCCAUGGGCAGGUUGAAGGUUGGGUAACACUAACUGGAGGACCGAACCGACUAAUGUUGAAAAAUUAGCGGAUGACUUGUGGCUGGGGGUGAAAGGCCAAUCAAACCGGGAGAUAGCUGGUUCUCCCCGAAAGCUAUUUAGGUAGCGCCUCGUGAAUUCAUCUUCGGGGUAGAGCACUGUUUCGGCUAGGGGGUCAUCCCGACUUACCAACCCGAUGCAAACUACGAAUACCGAAGAAUGUUAUCACGGGAGACACACGGCGGGUGCUAACGUCCGUCGUGAAGAGGGAAACAACCCAGACCGCCAGCUAAGGUCCCAAAGUCAUGGUUAAGUGGGAAACGAUGUGGGAAGGCACAGACAGCCAGGAUGUUGGCUUAGAAGCAGCCAUCAUUUAAAGAAAGCGUAAUAGCUCACUGGUCGAGUCGGCCUGCGCGGAAGAUGUAACGGGGCUAAACCAUGCACCGAAGCUGCGGCAGCGACACUAUGUGUUGUUGGGUAGGGGAGCGUUCUGUAAGCCUGCGAAGGUGACCUGUGAGGGUUGCUGGAGGUAUCAGAAGUGCGAAUGCUGACAUAAGUAACGAUAAAGCGGGUGAAAAGCCCGCUCGCCGGAAGACCAAGGGUUCCUGUCCAACGUUAAUCGGGCAGGGUGAGUCGACCCCUAAGGCGAGGCCGAAAGGCGUAGUCGAUGGGAAACAGGUUAAUAUUCCUGUACUUGGUGUUACUGCGAAGGGGGGACGGAGAAGGCUAUGUUAGCCGGGCGACGGUUGUCCCGGUUUAAGCAUGUAGGCUGGUUAUCCAGGCAAAUCCGGAUAAUCAAGGCUGAGGUGUGAUGACGAGGCACUACGGUGCUGAAGUAACAAAUGCCCUGCUUCCAGGAAAAGCCUCUAAGCAUCAGGUAACAUCAAAUCGUACCCCAAACCGACACAGGUGGUCAGGUAGAGAAUACCAAGGCGCUUGAGAGAACUCGGGUGAAGGAACUAGGCAAAAUGGUGCCGUAACUUCGGGAGAAGGCACGCUGGUGUGUAGGUGAAGUCCCUGCGGAUGGAGCUGAGACCAGUCGAAGAUACCAGCUGGCUGCAACUGUUUAUUAAAAACACAGCACUGUGCAAACACGAAAGUGGACGUAUACGGUGUGACGCCUGCCCGGUGCCGGAAGGUUAAUUGAUGGGGUUAUCCGUAAGGAGAAGCUCUUGAUCGAAGCCCCGGUAAACGGCGGCCGUAACUAUAACGGUCCUAAGGUAGCGAAAUUCCUUGUCGGGUAAGUUCCGACCUGCACGAAUGGCGUAAUGAUGGCCAGGCUGUCUCCACCCGAGACUCAGUGAAAUUGAACUCGCUGUGAAGAUGCAGUGUACCCGCGGCAAGACGGAAAGACCCCGUGAACCUUUACUAUAGCUUGACACUGAACAUUGAGCCUUGAUGUGUAGGAUAGGUGGGAGGCUUUGAAGCGUGGACGCCAGUCUGCGUGGAGCCAACCUUGAAAUACCACCCUUUAAUGUUUGAUGUUCUAACGUUGGCCCCUUACCGGGGUUGCGGACAGUGUCUGGUGGGUAGUUUGACUGGGGCGGUCUCCUCCCAAAGCGUAACGGAGGAGCACGAAGGUUAGCUAAUCCUGGUCGGACAUCAGGAGGUUAGUGCAAUGGCAUAAGCUAGCUUGACUGCGAGCGUGACGGCGCGAGCAGGUGCGAAAGCAGGUCAUAGUGAUCCGGUGGUUCUGAAUGGAAGGGCCAUCGCUCAACGGAUAAAAGGUACUCCGGGGAUAACAGGCUGAUACCGCCCAAGAGUUCAUAUCGACGGCGGUGUUUGGCACCUCGAUGUCGGCUCAUCACAUCCUGGGGCUGAAGUAGGUCCCAAGGGUAUGGCUGUUCGCCAUUUAAAGUGGUACGCGAGCUGGGUUUAGAACGUCGUGAGACAGUUCGGUCCCUAUCUGCCGUGGGCGCUGGAGAAUUGAGGGGGGCUGCUCCUAGUACGAGAGGACCGGAGUGGACGCAUCACUGGUGUUCGGGUUGUCAUGCCAAUGGCACUGCCCGGUAGCUAAAUGCGGAAGAGAUAAGUGCUGAAAGCAUCUAAGCACGAAACUUGCCCCGAGAUGAGUUCUCCCUGAGACUUUAAGUCUCCUGAAGGAACGUUAAAGACGAUGACGUUGAUAGGCCGGGUGUGUAAGCGCAGCGAUGCGUUGAGCUAACCGGUACUAAUGAACCGUGAGGCUUAACCUUACAACGCCGAAG